UCAGGAUGAACGCUAGCUACAGGCUUAACACAUGCAAGUCGAGGGGCAGCAUUAUCGAAGCUUGCUUUGAUAGAUGGCGACCGGCGCACGGGUGAGUAACGCGUAUCCAACCUUCCCCCAUAGUCAGGAAUAGCCCGGCGAAAGUCGAAUUAAUGCCUGAUGUUUUCCACGGACGGCAUCCGAUGUGGAACAAAGAUUCAUCGCUAUGGGAUGGGGAUGCGUCUGAUUAGCUUGUUGGCGGGGUAACGGCCCACCAAGGCAACGAUCAGUAGGGGUUCUGAGAGGAAGGUCCCCCCACAUUGGAACUGAGACACGGUCCAAACUCCUACGGGAGGCAGCAGUGAGGAAUAUUGGUCAAUGGGCGGAAGCCUGAACCAGCCAAGUAGCGUGAGGGAUGACUGCCCUAUGGGUUGUAAACCUCUUUUAUAAGGGAAUAAAAUACGGGACGUGUCCUGUUUUGCAUGUACCUUAUGAAUAAGGACCGGCUAAUUCCGUG
This 496-nucleotide ribosomal RNA is filed under the name uncultured bacterium. RNAcentral's name for it is "bacterial SSU rRNA". It matches the Rfam family "Bacterial small subunit ribosomal RNA", at positions 24 to 507 of the family's 1533-position model. The record is from RNAcentral.